AAUAGUUAUUUUACAAACUAUGAAUAAACUAUGAAUAAAAUUUUAUUAAAAAUGUAUAAUUAUAUUGAAUAUUGAAAUAUUUUUUAAAUAUCCCUCCAUUAAAAAAGUACCUAUCGAAUCGAAGAAGAUAGAUGUCGCAGUAUCGAUAUUCGAUUUAGAUUAAAUCGAUACUCGAUUUAAUAGACUAGCACAUAGUGUCAUCUAGUUUCAGUGGAGUGAGAGUGUACGUAGAAAUUUCUUCAAAAUUUAUUUCUUCGAUUAUUUCUUUUGGAUUUAUUGUUGCUGGUGUGAUUGGCGGUUCGUGCUGAGUGUCGUUUAACACAAAUGUCGUUGUGGGCUCUUCCCGCGAAUUUUGUGCAACUCUUCUACUUCCUGGAGGAAUAUAAGUCCACCAAGCCAGGAAAAAGAAAAGAAGGGAUGCUGCUUUGCCGAUGAAAGCUAAUGCUAGCAUAUAUCUGAAACAAGCGGCCAUUAUUGAAAUUAUAGAGGACGCCAUAAUCAAGUGUGGAACAAUGUCUACAGAUAUAGAAAUAAUAAACGAAGAUAUACAAACAUAGAGAAAUGGACUUCACAAGCUUGCAUACUAAGUAUUAAGAUAAGAAAUUAUACGAACUUCGACGUUAUUUAGUCGCAUUCCUUGAUAACAUCCUGCAUGACAAGGGGAAUAGUACGUGAUUCCAUCAACUCCGCAUAUUGGACUGAACUCUGAUCUCGAGCAGCCGCAGCCAUUAUUGCACGUGUUAUCCAAUGAAAAUGUUUUUCUGAUGGUCGAAUCACCUUUGGAAACCUCUUCUCGAUGACCCUUCAUCAAGGCCAGCUGCUUGAAAUUGGUGCUCACAUCCCAAACUCUGGCCGUGGUGUCGCUGCUCGCAGUGGCCAACUUUUUCCCAUUGUUGUCGAAGGUCAGGUCCAGGACCUCGUCAUCGUGUCCUCGAAAUGUGACCAGGCACGAGUUCAUUUUCGUGUCCCACACUUUGGCCGUUUUAUCCAUCGACGACGAGGCGAUCAACGAGCAAUCGAAGUUGUAAAUGCAGUUCGAUAAUUCGGAUCGAUGGCCGAUCAACACGCAUACGCGACUGGGAAAAAAGAUUUUUUUAAUUAUUAUUUUUAAUUUUCAAGAUUGAAAAAAGGUAUGUAUAUUUGGAAUGAUUGGAAAUAAACUCACGUGAGAAUCCUUGUAUCCCAAAUACUGACAGUGCCGUCGAAUGAACCCGUUAUUAUUUGAUUUCCAUCGUUAUUGAAGUGUAAAGCGAUUAUUUCUGCAGUGUGACCUCUCAAUAUCCCUAAUUCCUCACCUGUUAAACGAAUUCUUAUUUUAUUUUAAAAAAUCCAUAUCCUCGAGUCUCACCGUUUAAAGAUUCAUCGUUCGAAUUUAACUCGAGUUUUAUAAAAUAUUGAGAGUGAAAAAUGCUAUAUUUCUACAAUUUUAGAGAAAAGCGUAACGAAAGAUGUAACAUGGAAUUAAAUAAAAUGGAUAAUGGAUAA
This is a long non-coding RNA of Apis mellifera (honey bee), 1485 nucleotides long. RefSeq lists it as uncharacterized. The transcript is spliced from 6 exons. Lineage: Eukaryota; Metazoa; Arthropoda; Insecta; Hymenoptera; Apidae. The record is from RefSeq and is a predicted model, not a curated record.